RNAcentral lists this ribosomal RNA (119 nucleotides) under Pteropus alecto (black flying fox). Lineage: Eukaryota; Metazoa; Chordata; Mammalia; Chiroptera; Pteropodidae. The record is from RNAcentral.
GACUACUACCAUGCCACCCUGAACAUGCCCGAUCCCGUCUGAUUUCAGAAGCUAAGCAAGGUCGGGCUUUCUUAGUUCUUGGAUGGGAGGCCACCUAGGAAGACCAGGUGCUGUAGGCC